RNAcentral lists this ribosomal RNA (253 nucleotides) under uncultured bacterium. RNAcentral's name for it is "partial 16S ribosomal RNA". It matches the Rfam family "Bacterial small subunit ribosomal RNA", at positions 524 to 776 of the family's 1533-position model. The record is from RNAcentral.
UACAGAGGUCCCAAGCGUUACUGAGAAUCACUGGGUUUAAAGGGCGCGUAGGUGGUCCGUUAAGUCAGUUGUGAAAUCCCCGGGCUCAACUCGGGAACUGCUUCUGAUACUGGCGGACUUGAGUCCAGUAGGGGUCACUAGAACUGACGGUGGAGCGGUGAAAUGCGUAGAUAUCGUCAGGAAUGCCGGUGGUGAAGACGGGUGACUGGGCUGGUUCUGACACUGAGGCACGAAAGCGUGGGGAGCGAACGGG